RNAcentral lists this transfer RNA (62 nucleotides) under Liposcelis bostrychophila. Its description in RNAcentral is "tRNA-Pro". Lineage: Eukaryota; Metazoa; Arthropoda; Insecta; Psocodea; Liposcelididae. The record is from RNAcentral.
CACUAACAGAAUUUAGUUUAAAAAAAUUUUAGUCUUGGAUACUAAAGAUAUCAGAAUGAUAA